Molecule: ribosomal RNA, 345 nt
Filed under: Apsena rufipes
Lineage: Eukaryota; Metazoa; Arthropoda; Insecta; Coleoptera; Tenebrionidae
Description: partial 12S ribosomal RNA
Source: RNAcentral
UUCAAAUGUUAUUAUUUUCCUUGAUUAUUAAUAGUUAUGAUCUUUAAAAUUAAAGAAUUYGGCGGUAUUUUAGUCUGUUCAGAGGAACCUGUUUUUUAAUUGAUAGUCCACGAUAAUUUUUACUUUAGUUUUAAAUUUGCAUAUCGUUGUUUAUAAAAAUUUUAGGAGAAUUUUAAUUUUUAGGAUUUUUUAUUAAAAUGUAUUUCAGAUCAAGGUGUAGUUUAUAUUAAAGUUAAAAUGGGUUACAUUAUAGUUAUAUUUGGUUUUAUUAUUUAAAAUUUUAAUUAAAUUGGAUUUGAUAGUAAAUUUUUUAUUUAUGAGAUUUGAUUUAGCUCUAAAAUAUGC